Penaeus vannamei (Pacific white shrimp) is the source of this 231-nucleotide non-coding RNA. NCBI's taxonomy places the organism in Eukaryota, Metazoa, Arthropoda, Malacostraca, Decapoda, Penaeidae. The record is from RefSeq and is a predicted model, not a curated record.
UCUCGCAAGUAGCGAGAAUCAGCGUGAGAGGCUUUUUGUAAACACUGGACUUUGUUUACUUCGUAUUCUUUCCUUCUUUUAGAACUUCUUUGGCGCUGAAGGGGUUCGCGGAUCGUCGAAAAAUCGGUAGAAAUGGCUACCGCGACAACGCAAGUCGUGCAAGAUGUGGACACCAACUCUGGACAUAAUAGCAGCAUUGAUGCCAGAAAACGGCGUGCUGGUUCCUUAGGG